This 1312-nucleotide long non-coding RNA is filed under the name Bubo bubo (Eurasian eagle-owl). RNAcentral describes it as "lncRNA (ENSBOBG00000004204.1)". Lineage: Eukaryota; Metazoa; Chordata; Aves; Strigiformes; Strigidae. The record is from RNAcentral.
UGAAACUGCUGUACUUCAGCAAGUGGCAAAAGGAAACUCAUUUUCCUUGGAAGAAGUAGAUUCUUCUGAAGAUACAAUUCAGGAUGUUAACAAAGCUCAUGAAGAACACAGCGUGGAUUUAAUGGUUAAUAAGCUAUCAAAAGACUGCCUUAAUUCCUCAGAAGAUACAGCUCAAGAGGAAAAGGGCACCGUUGCGCCUGAUUCACUGCUCUUGGAUAAUUCAAACCUGCUUUCUUCGGAGAAAGAAGUGAUGGAAGAUAUAGGGGGAGGGGAAAUGCAUUCUUUACUAGAAAUCUCUUCACAAAAAAUGUUUCACAAUAUUAAUACAUCUCAGAAAGUACUUCACUUGGGGAGUUCAUCACAGCAUGAUGAGAAGGAGAAAAUUUUAAGCACAAACUAUGCUACAGCAAUCAGUAAAAAUGAAAAUGCAGAGUUUCCUGGUGUAGCUGGUUAUCAGCGUGAGCCCAGAGAAAAUCAGGGACACAGGACUUCUGAAGAGUGCUGUGUAGACCAGCUGGGCAGCACUGUUUCCAAGAAUGCUUCAGCCCUCUCAGAAGGCCUGAACAAGUCUCCAUGGGAAGAUCCACAUUAUAGUAAGGAGUUUCUAAAUUAUAAUAGGAACUCCGGCACCUCUGAGUAUUCGCCUGGUCUCCUGAAUCAUCCAGCAUCAUCUGCUGAUGUUUUGAUUGCCAGCAAUGGGGACAAAGGUAAAAAUGAUGCUGUUCUCUCUGAAGAAACAAAAUACUUUGAAAGUGAAUCAACUGAUUUAAGUGUAUCUGUAACUUUUCCUGGUGUUUCUGAAAAAGGAGAUGAAAGGAAAAAUAAUUCUGCGGUUGCAGAGGCCACAUAUGCUCAGAAUAAUAAACUCCCUGAAAAAGUUGCAGGAACAGAUCAAAAGGAGAAUAUAGUUCAAGGUUCUUUCCAGAGUUGCAGUGACAUAAAAGAAAAUAAAAUUCAUGAGUACUCAGAACACUACAGUAACACUUCUAGUGUGACUGUACCAGAAUUGGGCUUGCUUACUUUUCAGAGUCGAGGACAGACUGGCAGUAAAGAAUCAAAGUCUCUUCCAUCCUACUUUGCAGAAGGUACUCCAACUGAUACACCAUUUCAAAGCUCCAAGAACUUCAGUGCUUUUGACACUUCUUGUUUACUUGAUGACUCAAAAUCUCUAAUAUUUAGUCAGCUUGAGGACUCACUCCAGAACACGUUUUUGACUGAGCAGGUGUCCUCUAGUUCUUCAGGUGUGUGCUCUGUAAAAGAAGGAGAUUUUCCUCAAGCAUUUUCAAGUGUCAAUCACCCAUCCUUAGCACCA